RNAcentral lists this ribosomal RNA (253 nucleotides) under uncultured bacterium. Its description in RNAcentral is "partial 16S ribosomal RNA". It matches the Rfam family "Bacterial small subunit ribosomal RNA", at positions 524 to 776 of the family's 1533-position model. The record is from RNAcentral.
UACAGAGGGUGCAAGCGUUGUUCGGAAUUACUGGGCGUAAAGCGCGUGUAGGCGGUUUGGUAAGUCGGUCGUGAAAUCCCUUGGCUUAACCAAGGAACUGCGAUCGAGACUGUCAAACUAGAGUAUCGGAGGGGGUGGCGGAAUUCCCGGUGUAGAGGUGAAAUUCGUAGAUAUCGGGAGGAACACCUGUGGCGAAGGCGGCCACCUGGAAGAUUACUGACGCUGAGACGCGAAAGCGUGGGGAGCAAACAGG